CCUCAACCCACCCUCACCACAAACAAUGGUUUUAACAGUUGUAAACAUGCCCCAUUAACAUGAUCAUUUUAAUGUAAAGCAAAUGUGCUGUUUUUAUGUCUCCUUCCCUUACCUUCCCCAAACACACACUUUUUAGAAAGAUACAUUUUCUGUCAAGUGUGGUCCUGUUUAUACUUUACUUUGGAAGGUUGCACUGCACUGUUUAUAACAGCUGAUAUACUGUUGGUGUUCGGUUUUCUUUUGCUUGGUUUUUUAUCUUACUUUCUCUCAAUGUUUAGCUGGAUUUUAAUGCGCCCUAAUAACUUUUUGUAUCAGACCAAAUAAGGUCCCAGAGUGAUUGUCUGAUUUUUAAUUUGUAAAAAUGACAUUUUUUUCCUGUACUUUUUUCCUGUAUGAUAUCCAUGAAAUUGAUGUCCCUGGAUAAAUACAUUUGAUUAAACAAAUAAAACAACCAUAACCUGUGCUAGAAAUGAAGAAUUCAAGACACUGAGCAGAUUUCAAAUAAUUUAAAGCCCAGCAUCAAAAUGAGUUUUAGGUAUAUCUCAUUUUAAUAGAAACAAGAAGUCAACUUCAAUAUAUCCCCUUGCACGUGUCGGGAAAGCCAAGAUUUCAAUAUUCUCCUACACCUAGAUGAUAUAUGUGUUUAGAUGUUGGAAGAAAUGUAACACGUUUAUUUUCCAAAACACUUUCCUCACGUGCAAACGGAAAAGUGACAAAGAAAUCAGCACUGGCUCAGCCUUGCGUAAUCUCAGUCAGCUGGGACAUAAACAAGAUUAAAAAUACAGUGUAUUUCCACGACGUUUUGGAUACUGUUGACGUGUGUUCCCUUCACGGGAAGGAAAAAACGGUUGCUAUUUUACUUCAUUAUGCAUAUAUUGUUGCCUUAGGAAUAAAGAAGACACUAUGUUCACUGGUAUUUCUAAUAAAGACCAGCAAGCCAUAUGUGAAUGGAUCAAAAGUAAUGGGAGCAGCCUUAAACCAAAUCUAAAGCACAGUGGAUAUGUAAAUUGUGACUAAUUCUAACAAUUGCUCUUGAAUAUGUUAUUGUUUCAGAUUGUAACCGUUUUAUUGAUCCAAUAAGUCUUGCUCACUAUAGACACCCAUGCUUUGUGAUUCGAUUAAAUAUAGCGUUUGAAAAACAUUUUGUACCUUUUGUUUUCACAUUUUUACAUUGUAUUUGAUGUAACUUAGUUUCAACUAUUGCCUAUUAAAAUGUAAUUAUUUGUAUGUAAAGUCAACUUUAAUCAUCCACCAAUCGUCAUGUGUUUCCCAUGCACCAUUUCCAUCGAUUUCAACUUUUUUGUAAAUAUGUCAUUUGCUAAAAUGUCAUUAAAAAGUUGUAGUGUCGAUGGAGUUUCCAACUACCACGUGGCCUAUGGGGAUUUUUUUUCAAAUACCCUAAUUCAUAUUUAUAAUUGUACAUUUACGUCGUUUAGCAGACGCUCUG
Molecule: long non-coding RNA, 1447 nt
Filed under: Salmo salar (Atlantic salmon)
Lineage: Eukaryota; Metazoa; Chordata; Actinopteri; Salmoniformes; Salmonidae
Description: lncRNA (ENSSSAG00000105049.1)
Source: RNAcentral